UAACUACUCCCUCUGUCCCAAAUUUCUUGUCUUAGAUUUGUCUAGAUACGGAUGUAUCUAAUACUAAAAUGUGACUUGAUACAUCCGUAUCUAGACAAAUCUAAGACAAGAAUUUUGGGACGGAGGGAGUACUUU
Molecule: non-coding RNA, 135 nt
Organism: Triticum aestivum (bread wheat)
Lineage: Eukaryota; Viridiplantae; Streptophyta; Magnoliopsida; Poales; Poaceae
Source: Rfam